CUUGGUAUUCUAUCGUUGUUGCAAGAUUUGAAUCUAAAGGGUUGAGUUGGAAUCCAUGCCUAACAUGGUCUAUAUAUGGAAGUGAAACAUUAUUGCAGCAAAGUGGUUGAGGGUAUUUUUCAACUUAAUUGUAGACAUGCACUGAAAUUAUCAAAAUUUCACUUUGGCUGAGUUGGAAUCCAUGGCAAUAAUUGCAUUGGAACUGUUCAGUGAAGUAACAUGUACAGAAAGAAAGCUCCAGUCAUGUGAACUGAAGAUGUGAACAUCUGGCCUUUUGAAGUGUAUGAGUGGUGCCGAUGUAGUUGGGAAGAGCAAAGGACUGCAGUGGAUGUAUAUUCCAGUAGUCAUAGGAAUGAUUUUGAAUCAGUUAAUGGAAGAUGAUGAUGAAGUGGAUGUCUCAAUGGAUGCAGGAGAAGCUUUUUGGGUAAAGGAACUUGGAAUUCAUGUUCUUAUGUCAGCCUAAAAAGCAAUGGCAGCCAACACCACAACAAUGAUCCUUGUCACCAGAAUGUCAUUGAUUUAUCAGCGUAUUGGAUGAGGACAUGGGACUACUUCCUAUGCAAUCACGAUUGAUUUCAUAGGGCUAGACUCUAUUUCAGGAUUUUAAGUAUAAUGAAAAGUUUAGUUAGUUGUCUUCCUUCAAAAUGUAUGCCAGGCUUUUACACUUGCUGCAGAACUAUGGGCACAAUGGAAGUGUCAGACAUUAGCGUGAGAGGAAGGUUUUUGAUUGGUGAUUUUGAGAUAUUUGUCUACGAUGGUUAGCAAACAAGAAAAUUCUUUUUCAUUUUUGAGGACAUUUUGACCCGCGCAUAGAUCCUUUUUCAACUCCUUGGAAGAAGGGUGUGUACUCCCAGCCAUAUUGGGGCAUAUUAUGAUCUUGUUUUGAGAGUGAAGACCAGAAGUUUCAAUGUUCGAUUCAUUAUUAUUUAUUUAUUUGUAUU
Non-coding RNA from Camellia sinensis, 941 nucleotides. The record is from RefSeq and is a predicted model, not a curated record. Lineage: Eukaryota; Viridiplantae; Streptophyta; Magnoliopsida; Ericales; Theaceae.